RNAcentral lists this long non-coding RNA (202 nucleotides) under Mytilus galloprovincialis (Mediterranean mussel). Lineage: Eukaryota; Metazoa; Mollusca; Bivalvia; Mytilida; Mytilidae. The record is from RNAcentral.
CGGGUCACGCCACACAGUUUUUAAACUAGAUACCCCAAUGAUGAUUGAGGCCAAGUUUGUUUAAAUUUGGCCUGAUAGUUUCAGAGGAGAAUAUUUUUGUAAAAGAUUACCAAGAUUUACGAAAAAUGGUUAAAAAUUGACUAUAAAGAGCAAUAACUCCUAAAGGGGUCAACUGACCAUUUUGGUUAUGUUGACUUAUUUG